This 254-nucleotide ribosomal RNA is filed under the name uncultured bacterium. Its description in RNAcentral is "partial 16S ribosomal RNA". It matches the Rfam family "Bacterial small subunit ribosomal RNA", at positions 524 to 776 of the family's 1533-position model. The record is from RNAcentral.
UACGUAGGGCGCGAGCGUUGUCCGGAAUUAUUGGGCGUAAAGAGCUCGUAGGCGGCCGGUUGCGUCUGCUGUGAAAUCCCGGGGCUUAACCCCGGGCGUGCAGUGGAUACGGGCCGGCUGGAGGCAGGCAGGGGAGAAUGGAAUUCCCGGUGUAGCGGUGAAAUGCGCAGAGAUGUGGAGGAACACCGAGGGCGAAGGCAGCCUCCUGGGCUGAGAUUGACGCUGAGUGCACGAAAGCGUGGGGAGCAAACAGG